UACGUAGGGGGCAAGCGUUGUCCGGAAUCAUUGGGCGUAAAGAGCGCGUAGGCGGUCCAGUAAGUCCGCUCUGAAAGUCCGGGGCUCAACCCCGGGAGGCGGGCGGAUACUGCUGGGCUAGAGUCCGGAAGAGGCGAGUGGAAUUCCUGGUGUAGCGGUGAAGUGCGCAGAUAUCAGGAGGAACACCAAUGGCGAAGGCAGCUCGCUGGGACGGUACUGACGCUGAGGCGCGAAAGCCGGGGGAGCAAACAGG
Molecule: ribosomal RNA, 253 nt
Filed under: uncultured bacterium
Lineage: Bacteria
Description: partial 16S ribosomal RNA
Rfam family: Bacterial small subunit ribosomal RNA
Source: RNAcentral